This 387-nucleotide ribosomal RNA is filed under the name uncultured bacterium. RNAcentral describes it as "partial 16S ribosomal RNA". It matches the Rfam family "Bacterial small subunit ribosomal RNA", at positions 97 to 520 of the family's 1533-position model. The record is from RNAcentral.
GGCGCACGGGUGAGUAACGCGUGAGAAUCUGCCCUCAGGAGGGGGAUAACGGCUGGAAACGGCCGCUAAUACCCCAUAUGCCGCGAGGUGAAAUGAAUUUCGCCUGAGGAUGAGCUCGCGUCUGAUUAGCUAGUUGGUGGGGUAAAGGCCUACCAAGGCAUCGAUCAGUAGCUGGUCUGAGAGGAUGAUCAGCCACACUGGGACUGAGACACGGCCCAGACUCCUACGGGAGGCAGCAGUAGGGAAUAUUGCGCAAUGGGCGAAAGCCUGACGCAGCAAUUCCGCGUGGUCGACGAAGCCCCUCGGGGUGUAAAGACCUUUCGGCAGUGACGAUUAUGACGGUAACUGCAAAAGAAGCACCGGCUAAUUACGUGCCAGCGGCGGCGG